GAUUUAACGUAGCAUACCAUGCAGUCGAGCGGGGAGAUGGUAGCUUGCUACACUUGUCCUAGCGGCGGACGGGUGAGUAAUGCUUAGGAAUCUGCCUAUUAGUGGGGGACAACAUUCCGAAAGGAAUGCUAAUACCGCAUACGCCCUACGGGGGAAAGCAGGGGAUCUUCGGACCUUGCGCUAAUAGAUGAGCCUAAGUCAGAUUAGCUAGUUGGUGGGGUAAAGGCCUACCAAGGCGACGAUCUGUAGCGGGUCUGAGAGGAUGAUCCGCCACACUGGGACUGAGACACGGCCCAGACUCCUACGGGAGGCAGCAGUGGGGAAUAUUGGACAAUGGGCGCAAGCCUGAUCCAGCCAUGCCGCGUGUGUGAAGAAGGCCUUUUGGUUGUAAAGCACUUUAAGCGAGGAGGAGGCUACUUGGAUUAAUACUCUAGGAUAGUGGACGUUACUCGCAGAAUAAGCACCGGCUAACUCUGUGCCAGCAGCCGCGGUAAUACAGAGGGUGCGAGCGUUAAUCGGAUUUACUGGGCGUAAAGCGUGCGUAGGCGGCUUUUUAAGUCGGAUGUGAAAUCCCUGAGCUUAACUUAGGAAUUGCAUUCGAUACUGGGAAGCUAGAGUAUGGGAGAGGAUGGUAGAAUUCCAGGUGUAGCGGUGAAAUGCGUAGAGAUCUGGAGGAAUACCGAUGGCGAAGGCAGCCAUCUGGCCUAAUACUGACGCUGAGGUACGAAAGCAUGGGGAGCAAACAGGAUUAGAUACCCUGGUAGUCCAUGCCGUAAACGAUGUCUACUAGCCGUUGGGGCCUUUGAGGCUUUAGUGGCGCAGCUAACGCGAUAAGUAGACCGCCUGGGGAGUACGGUCGCAAGACUAAAACUCAAAUGAAUUGACGGGGGCCCGCACAAGCGGUGGAGCAUGUGGUUUAAUUCGAUGCAACGCGAAGAACCUUACCUGGUCUUGACAUAGUAAGAACUUUCCAGAGAUGGAUUGAUGCCUUCGGGAAC
RNAcentral lists this ribosomal RNA (998 nucleotides) under Acinetobacter sp. sw-2-2-1(2011). RNAcentral describes it as "bacterial SSU rRNA". It matches the Rfam family "Bacterial small subunit ribosomal RNA", at positions 45 to 1027 of the family's 1533-position model. Lineage: Bacteria; Pseudomonadati; Pseudomonadota; Gammaproteobacteria; Moraxellales; Moraxellaceae. The record is from RNAcentral.